GAUGAAACUGCGAUGAACUGCGAUCAAAAUUCUUUAUACCUAAUUCUUUAAACAACAUGAUGUGGUUAUGGAUGCAGUUCCUUCUGGAUUUAUAAUGCCCUUCAAAGAAGCCGUUAAAAGUGGAGCCAUAUGGGUUUAAACUCAAAAGAUCCUUCUAAUCCUGGUGGUCAAAUGUGCUUCUUUUACACUUUGGCGAAAAAUCCAUUUCACAGAGAUGUCUCUACCUGACAUACAGUCACUUAUUGGAGCUGCCUAAUAAAUAAUCUUGGUUGGUAAAAUGUUUGGACAUUAUCAUGUAUGUAUUUAUUAACAAAUAAAAUAAAGUAAGUCUCUUAGAAAAUCAUACGAAGACGCCAGUGAAAUAGUAUCUUGAGAUUUAAAAAAAGAUAUUGAUGUAAAUUGUUCAUUCUGUGAUGUAUACUCAGACACUCUCCCACGCAAAAAAAAAAAAAAAAAAAAGAUCUGGAAACAUUUCUGUAAAGAAUUCCUGACCUCAGUGCCCAUUCAACGUGAAAUUCCUAUUCAUGAGCAUGGGUAGUGACGUCAUAUCAGCAUGGUUGUUGAUAUGACGACAUAUCAAAAAUCAACUUUUUUUUGCAAUAUUUUUGAGAGUGCACAACAAUACAGAUUUCCAUAAAAAUAUAUAUGGUAAGGUGCACAUUAACGUAAUACAUAUAUCCAAACCUUUUUUCCAUGUAAUAUUUGUUACAAAUUUCUAGGAUAUUAUAUAUAUGGAAUAGUUAUAAUUUAUCUGGGGCCGGUUCUGUGGUCCUGGAAGGUCUGUCAGGUGCCCAAUUUGAGCCCUUAGUGUCAGGCUCAGUGAAGCUUGUGGUCACUUUUACUCAAAUGGCUACCACUCUUGAAUGGAAUAAGAUUUUCACCAAACUCGGGGGCUCAAUUUGAGGAUAUUACUGUGUUACCAGUAUCACACUCACUGCACUGUUGGAUGUACAAUUCUAAUAUGAAUGUGUAGGUUGUCAGUAGACCCUGCUCCAUAUGAUAUUGUUACCUUACAAUUACCUACAUUCUGCCUUUAUGUGGUCUGUGUUAUUAAAAUGCAUGUAUUGAAUGUAUUAAAAUGGAGAAUGUUAUCACACGUGAUUUGUCACACGCACAUAUACAUCAACAAAACAUUCAGUCAGUGCAUGGAGUGCCUAUUAUUCUGUCUUGUAUUCAUUUACAACAAAAAAACGAAUCGUCCCAUCGUUCACUUAACGGAGUCGGCUCAGAGCCGACUCGUUCGCAAACGACACAUCACUACUCUGCAGAUGGACAUAUCUCAAGGCGUAGUGACUCCCUGUGCCAGAGACCUCAGCCAGGACUGCACAAGUAUGAUCAUGCCCUCUGGUGUCUCCAGCUUCUUGCUGGAUUGUAUGGAUUCAGACUUGGAAGCAGGUGACGCACAACCAUCCAUUGAGACUUUUUGCAAAGCUGAUACUUCUGAUGAGGGAACAGGUCUGGUCAGUGAAGAUGAAAUGCUGCACUGCUGUAUCAGGAACUCAACGCUUCUCAGUUUCAGUGACGCUGUGAAUAUCGGAAUGCAGCAUCCUCCAAACCUCUCCUCCAUUCUGGAGCUGUCACCUGUUACUGAUGGACAAACUGCAAAAGGCUCAUUUUCUCUGCCCUUCCUUCAACCUGUGUCACCUCUUGGCUCCUCUGCUUUGGUUGGGCUAUGUGAUAAUUUGACAUCCCCAAAGAAUACCUCAGGAGGUAAAGGCAAAACCACUGGAGUUGAAGAAAGGACUCCUGUAACCAAGAUAACUGCAGCAUUUUCUCCUGCUGUAAAAAAAAAGCCUCUUAUAGGAAAACGUAAGCCCAUAAAAUGCAGAAAGGUGACCUUCAGUGAUGUCAACAGCACACAGGCCAUAUCAGUGCUUAAUCCUGGUUCGGUGAAACCUCAGAGAAGAGCCUAUAAUGUCCAUAAGAAUGACAUGAGAAGCAACACCAAUGAGCCUUCUUCGGAGACAGCAAGGUUUUUUGACUUUGCUGAUGAAUGCGAGAAGGAAACUUUUUUUCAAAGACUGAAGCUGACCUACACUUUUCAGUUUCCCUCUAAACCGAUUACCUUCCCAGACCGGCCGAAGACAGAGGAUGUGUGAGGUAGAAGAAUGGUUUCUUUCUUUUUUCUUUUGUUCAGUGUGCAUUGCUGCUCUCACUUAGAUCUCGCGAACACCAUGAUGAAAUAAAGUCUGUUUUUGCAUGUCUCUAAAGCCCUGUUUUGUGAUCAGCAAACCAGGACCUACCUCAGCG
Molecule: long non-coding RNA, 2250 nt
Organism: Ictalurus punctatus (channel catfish)
Lineage: Eukaryota; Metazoa; Chordata; Actinopteri; Siluriformes; Ictaluridae
Source: Ensembl